Molecule: long non-coding RNA, 1126 nt
Filed under: Equus caballus (horse)
Lineage: Eukaryota; Metazoa; Chordata; Mammalia; Perissodactyla; Equidae
Description: lncRNA (ENSECAG00000053558.1)
Source: RNAcentral
GCAGUUUAACAUCAAAUUAGAGUUCUCCAGAGAAACAGAACCAAUAGGAUGUGCAUGUUUAUAUAUAAAGAGAUUUAUUAUAAAGAAUUGACUCACACAAUUAGGGAGGCUGAGAAGUCCCAAGAUGUGCAGUCCACAAGUUGGAGACCCAGGAAAACUGGUUUGUAGUUCUAGUUCAAGUCUGAAGGUCUGAGAACCAUGAGAGCUGAUGGCAUAAGUUCCAAGCUGAAAGUCGGCAGGCUGGAGAUCCAAGAAGAGCUGCUGUUUCAGUCCGAGUCUGAAGGCUGAGAAAGACCAUGGUCCCAACUCAAACAAGUCAGAAACACGAAUCAGAGUGCUCUGUACACGGCAGGUCCUCCUCUAGAUCCUGAUCGAGGCCAAGAUCUGAAGGAAGUGUCCAUAAGGAAUGAUUAACCAUCGUUAGGUUGCUAAACCACUCCAGGACUUUUAACUAGAUGAAGAAAAGAAUAUUUGCCAGCUCUCGUCUCCGAGAACAUUCUUGCCUGUGUUUGGAAGGAAAUACUCUGAUAAACUGCAUGGAGUGUGAGGAAGAAUUGAAUAAAAGGAAGAACUUUCUUGAAUUUCCAACGGUAACUGAAUUUGGGGGCCUUGGUAGAAGGGGUGGUGGAGAAGAGCAAUGGCCCAUAGUGGUGAAGGAGGAAAUGCGAUAUGGGAAAAUACAAAGAAGAAUGAGCAAAAUGGAAAAAUAUUGUUGUUUUUAAGCAAUUUUUAAGAAUUGGUGAAAUUUUCUCUGAGUACCAUACACGCGCACGUACGCAUGCACGCACGCAUGCACUGCACAACUGAACAAUCCAGUGGUUUCCAUUAAAACUAGAAGUUAGAACCAUAGCUAAUGUGCGAUGUAAGCACAUAGGGCUAAUGGAUUCCAUAGUCAUCAACCACCCUCCUGCUUUGGAUCACAGACCAGGGGGGCAUGGUUUAAAUAUGUGAAAUAAAUGCAGAGAUUACAUAAUGCCGCUUUAAAUUGUAGUUCAUUUUAAACAGACCACUGUUAUUUACUAAAAUCUCGUGUAUGUGGGGGAGUGUGUGUGUGUCUGUGUGUGUGUGUGUGUGUGUGCGUCUGAGGGGCAUGUGGUUUAAGGAAGCUUGAUUUAUGUGAUCUGGG